CACCUGAGAUGUAAGCCCAGUCUGCCGAAGGGCUCCCAUGUAGUCGAGUUUAUAGGAGACAGGCCGUAAAGAGCCGCCAUCUAAAAAUGAGAUACCCAGCACUUUAAAAAUAUUGACACCUACUCGUUAGAAAAUGAUCGCCAACAUGAAAGCAAAGCUCAGGCUGUUCACCAUCUACGCGCGCGUGCGUCUGACAGAUUACAAGCUGUGGCUGCGGCCAACACUGCAGUGCAAAUUAGCAUUAAUAACACUAUUUGAUUCCAAAUAAAAAGAGCAAACAAAUGCGAACAAGCACACCUGGCUGGACAAAUUCAGUCAACAGAUGGGUACACGGCAGGCCAGUAAUUGUAGAGCAAAAAAAAAUGCUAAUGAGCAUUCACGGCAGGGCGCAAUCACAUAAAAACAGGGGGGAUUGACUCAUAUGCUUGGCCAGCAUGGUGUCAGAGGUGACGGCGGUGCCAGGAAUGGGGUGGCUGAGAGUGGGACUUGUCGCUGUUUGAGUCUUGGUGUUCCAGCUGCUGGCCGGACCCGCCGUUCUUCUCUGCCAUCACUACAACUCCUGGCUAACAUGUGCAGAUAUUGAACAUUUUUACUUUGUAGCCUGUUCCUGUGGAGGGCCAGUUGUAAAACCAAAUGCCACAACAUGGUGUUAAUCCUAGACCUGCAGUUUGGUGAAAAAAAUAAAUAAUCUGUCCAGAAUGUUAUUUUUGACAGGAAGAAGACAGUGUAGUGUAGCAGAAGUAAAAGAAGAAGAAAGAAGCAGGCAGAAGUAUAGAACGGCAUGGUAAUGGUGAGGUGUAGAGAUCCAACAGCAGAGUGAAAUAGCCAGGGCAGAAGGAGCAGAGCCCCAACUGACUGGAGCCUGGUUUUUCCGGACGUUUCUUCCUGCUAAAAAGGAGUUUUUCAUCCCCACAGUCACCAUGUGUUUGCUCAUAGGGGGUCAUCUGCUUGUUGGGGUGUUCUUUGUGUUAUUGUAGGGUCUUUCUCUUCCAGUAUAUAGCGCUGUGUAUUUAUAUAUAUAUUUGCUUUAUAAAUAAAACUGAAUUGAGUUGGAUAAUGCUUUUUGUGAUGGGGUGGAGGGUUUUUGGCUCUGUAUCCAUAUUUUUACCUAUAUUGCUCUAUUUGACCCUUGUAUGUUGGACUUGUGUGCACACUAUUAAAGGACUACA
Molecule: long non-coding RNA, 1169 nt
Organism: Oreochromis niloticus (Nile tilapia)
Lineage: Eukaryota; Metazoa; Chordata; Actinopteri; Cichliformes; Cichlidae
Exons: 3
Source: RefSeq, a predicted model, not a curated record